This is a long non-coding RNA of Hydra vulgaris (swiftwater hydra), 1646 nucleotides long. RefSeq lists it as uncharacterized. The record is from RefSeq and is a predicted model, not a curated record. NCBI's taxonomy places the organism in Eukaryota, Metazoa, Cnidaria, Hydrozoa, Anthoathecata, Hydridae.
GCAACUAAAUACUAUUUACGUGGUCAGCAAUCGAGAGCGAUCGUUCCCGCUUCCCGACCAAGCCUGAUGCAGUAAAGCAGAUUGAUUAGGAUUGAAUAUACACUUGCAUUUAAAGUGAACAGGAACUUAAUUUGGUUAUUUUUUAGUAUAUUUGUAAAAAAUAAUUGUUUACAUAUCAGUUUUAAUUUAUAACAAAAGUAUAAUUUUUUAUAAUUUUUUAUUAAAUACAUUUUUAAAUUCUUUAAAAUAUCAAAAUGUAUAUAUUUUGAUGACAAUACUCAGACAUUUGUUUAAUUUGGCUAGUCAUUUGUUUAAGAAACAAGUUGGCUAGGGAAAUGUUGAGUUUUAAGAUAUUUUUUAAAUAAUUAUCACAGAAUGUUAUAUAAUUUUUUUAGAUUAUGUUGAGAAAUAAAUUAAAUAUACAAUCAUAAAAUGCUAUUCAAGUGCAAUAUAAAAUUGAAAAUGUAGAUUUGAUACUAAAUAUUGCAAAAACUGAAUGUUUGAAUAAUCAUGAAUGUUUUGUAUUUUUCGCUUGCUAUAAGUUGGUUUGUGUUGAUUUAUGAUUAACAACAGAAAAUACAAUACUUCAACAAACAUUAGUUUUUUACACAAAAGUUAUGAAAAAUCUCCUUGAAAUGGUUCAUCUAAAUCUAGUAAGUUUACACUUAAUCUGACAACAUUGUUUUGAAUACUUUGUUUCAGAAAGUUCAGGAAUGUUUUACUUUCCCCAAGUUUUAAUAUCUCAAACUGUUAGUUUACAGAAUUUGAUAAAAUAAAUAAAAUGAUUUCUGUAUAUUAAAAAUAUAUAGAAUUUCCAAAAUAUACAGGUUUUUCCUAUUAUUGACCUGGUCUUCUGUGAAUGGAUAAGUUCUAAGUUAUAUAUGCAUAAUGAUUUUUUAAACCAAUUAGGGUGUUGCAUAUUUUUUAGAAUCUGCUGUGAAAUGAAUUUAAUUAUAUAAAAUCACAAAAUGUAGCUCUAAGACAACAUGAAAUUAAACAAUAAAUUUUGGUCCAUGGUAAUUGAAAUACGUUAUGUUUGACUAAUCAUAAAUAUAACUAUUAUAUAUAUUAAUAUAAGUACUCUACGCUUGUUUAUAAUUGUAAAUUUUCAUGUGAAAAUAAUUUUAAUACAAAAUUUAUUGUGGUCAAAACUGCAAUUGUUUUUGUAACGACAAACUAUGUGAGUAAUUAAUUGUCCUGCCCUGGGCCUCUACUUCGAUCUGGCUAUUGUUAUAACAAGUAUAUCGAUUUAUAUACUGUAUUGAGUUACCUUGUGAUUUGUACGUGUGUUUUUGUUUGCCUAGUGUUUGUUAGUUAUAUGGAAGAUAUGGCAUGGUAUGGCACACUGCAUGGUAUGCCCUUAAUAAUAUUAUCAACAAAUAUUUUUAUCUAUGUUUUGUAAAUAUAUAUGCUAUAAAUUAUUAUAUUAUUCAAAUGUUUUUUUUUAAUUUAUAAAAUUAGUGUAAAAGUGGAUGAAAGCAUUAAAGAAGCGUAACGAUAAACUUUAAAGCAGAAAUUUGUCAUGCGAUUAUGGUGGCGAUAUGAGAGAACUAAAGUGGCAGUAUAUUACUAUCGUAGAACAGUUUUGCAUCAAAUCAUUGUAUAAUAUUAGUUUUUGGUUGCUUAAAAAUAUUAUGAAAUUCAAA